This is a non-coding RNA of Mycena leptocephala, 94 nucleotides long. The record is from the annotation of a GenBank genome assembly. Lineage: Eukaryota; Fungi; Basidiomycota; Agaricomycetes; Agaricales; Mycenaceae.
GGCACUGUGGCGGAGUGGUUAACGCGACAGAUUCGAAUUACCGCAAGUUAUCUGUUCCACUUGUUGGGCACAUGUUUGAAUCAUGCCAGUGUCG